Molecule: ribosomal RNA, 1735 nt
Filed under: human skin metagenome
Description: bacterial LSU rRNA
Rfam family: Bacterial large subunit ribosomal RNA
Source: RNAcentral
GUUGCCCGAGUAGCAGCGGGCUCGUGGAAUCUGCUGUGAAUCUGCCGGGACCACCCGGUAAGCCUAAAUACCUGCUUGUGACCGAUAGCGGAUUAGUACCGUGAGGGAAUGGUGAAAAGUACCCCGGGAGGGGAGUGAAAUAGUACCUGAAACCAUGUGCUUACAAUCCGUCAGAGCCCUUUUUUGUGGGGUGAUGGCGUGCCUUUUGAAGAAUGAGCCUGCGAGUCAGCGGCAUGUCGCGAGGUUAACCCGUUUGGUGGGGUAGUCGUAGCGAAAGCGAAUACUAACUAGUGUGUUGUCAGUGGCAUGUCCUGGACCCGAAGCGGGGUGAUCUACCCAUGGCCAGUGUGAAGCAGAGGUAAGACUCUGUGGAGGCGCGAACCCACUUAGGUUGAAAACUGAGGGGAUGAGUUGUGGGUAGGGGUGAAAGGCCAAUCAAACUCCGUGAUAGCUGGUUCUCCCCGAAAUGCAUUUAGGUGCAGCGUCGUGUGUUUCCUCCUGGAGGUAGAGCUACUGGUUGGUUUAGCGGGACUAUCAUCUUAGCGACAUCAGCCAAACUCCGAAUGCCAGGUUAGGUUAGAGCACGGCAGUGAGACUGCGGGGGAUAAGCUUCGUAGUCGAGAGGGAAACAGCCCAGAUCGCCGGCUAAGGCCCCUAAGGGUGUGCUAAGUGGAAAAGGAUGUGGGAUCGCGAAGACAACCAGGAGGUUGGCUUAGAAGCAGCCAUCCUUGAAAGAGUGCGUAAUAGCUCACUGGUCGAGUGGUUCUGCGCCGACAAUGUAGUGGGGCUCAAGUACACCGCCGAAGCCGCGGCAAUCACCUUUUUGGUGGUUGGGUAGGGGAGCGUCGCGUGACUGCUGUGAAGCGCUGGGGUAACCCUAGUGUGGAGUGUGCGCGAGUGAGAAUGCAGGCAUGAGUAGCGAAUGAGGAGUGGAAAACUCCUCCGCCGAAUGACUAAGGGUUCCUGGGCCAGGUUAAUCCUCCCAGGGUGAGUCGGGACCUAAGGCGAGGCCGACAGGCGUAGUCGAUGGAUAACGGGUUGAUAUUCCCGUACCCGUGUGUCCGCGCCCAUGGUGAAUCAGGGAUACUAACCCACCUGAACACGCGCCGUUUACUAGCCUUUUAGGUUGGUUGGUGUGUGUGAUGCUGGGGACCUGAACUGGUAGUAGCCAAGUGAUGGGGUGACGCAGGAAGGUAGCCGUGCCACGUGAUGGAUAUCGUGGUGUAAGCGUGUGGCCCGUGUUCUAGGUAAAUCCGGAGCACAUGUGGGUGAGGCGUGAUGCGUACCCGUUUUGGGGAAGUUGGUGAUCCUAUGCUGCCGAGAAAAGCCUCUAGCGAUGUGGAUAUACGGCCCGUACCCGAAACCGACACAGGUAGUCAGGUAGAGAAUACUAAGGCGAUCGGGAGAACUGUGGUUAAGGAACUCGGCAAAAUGCCCCCGUAACUUCGGGAGAAGGGGGGCCAUGACUGGUGACCGACGUGGUUGAGCUGGUUGUGGCCGCAGAGAAUAGAGGGAAGCGACUGUUUACUAAAAACACAGGUCCGUGCGAAGACAUUGAAGUCGAUGUAUACGGACUGACGCCUGCCCGGUGCUGGAAGGUUAAGAGGACCUGUUAGACCCCUUUUGCGGGUCGAAGCGGAGAAUUUAAGCCCCAGUAAACGGCGGUGGUAACUAUAACCAUCCUAAGGUAGCGAAAUUCCUUGUCGGGUAAGUUCCGACCUGCACGAAUGGCGUA